This 202-nucleotide long non-coding RNA is filed under the name Ictidomys tridecemlineatus (thirteen-lined ground squirrel). RNAcentral describes it as "lncRNA (ENSSTOG00000032205.1)". The record is from RNAcentral. Lineage: Eukaryota; Metazoa; Chordata; Mammalia; Rodentia; Sciuridae.
GUGAAACAUUUUUAUUGUAUAACAAGAGUGUUUCUUUAUUCCCAGGAGCUGUGUGCCUGAGAUCAAGGUCAAAGCUGAUAAGACUCUAGCACAAAGUCUUCUAAUGCAGGGCAUUGCUACAGCAGAUGGCACCUGGACCCAGGUCUGCAAAAACCAGCAAGUGACUUGGAGAUCCCCAGCAACAGAGGACAUAGAUUCCUUG